UGAACGCUGGCGGCGUGCUUAACACAUGCAAGUCGAACGAUGAAGCCCAGCUUGCUGGGUGGAUUAGUGGCGAACGGGUGAGUAACACGUGAGUAACCUGCCCUUGACUCUGGGAUAAGCCUGGGAAACUGGGUCUAAUACUGGAUAUGACUUCUCAUCGCAUGGUGGGGGGUGGAAAGAUUUAUUGGUCUUGGAUGGACUCGCGGCCUAUCAGCUUGUUGGUGAGGUAAUGGCUCACCAAGGCGACGACGGGUAGCCGGCCUGAGAGGGUGACCGGCCACACUGGGACUGAGACACGGCCCAGACUCCUACGGGAGGCAGCAGUGGGGAAUAUUGCACAAUGGGCGCAAGCCUGAUGCAGCGACGCCGCGUGAGGGAUGACGGCCUUCGGGUUGUAAACCUCUUUCAGUAGGGAAGAAGCGAGAGUGACGGCACCUGCAGAAGAAGCGCCGGCUAACUACGUG
This 464-nucleotide ribosomal RNA is filed under the name uncultured bacterium. Its description in RNAcentral is "partial 16S ribosomal RNA". It matches the Rfam family "Bacterial small subunit ribosomal RNA", at positions 30 to 507 of the family's 1533-position model. The record is from RNAcentral.